RNAcentral lists this non-coding RNA (23 nucleotides) under Arabidopsis thaliana (thale cress). Lineage: Eukaryota; Viridiplantae; Streptophyta; Magnoliopsida; Brassicales; Brassicaceae. The record is from RNAcentral.
CUUUUAUACCUUUUGGUCUGCCA